GAUGAAGAACGUAGCGAAAUGCGAUAAGUAGUGUGAAUUGCAGAAUUCAGUGAAUCAUCGAAUCUUUGAACGCACAUUGCGCCCCUUGGUAUUCCAUGGGGCAUGCCUGUUCGAGCGUCAUUUGUACCUUCAAGCUCUGCUUGGUGUUGGGUGUUUGUCCUUGCUCUAGUGGCGGGACUCGCCUUAAAGUAAUUGGCAGCCAGUGUUUUGGUUUUGAAGCGCAGCACAAGUCGCGAUUCAAGUCUAUACGCUAGUUUCCACAAGUCUUUUAUCACUUUUGACCUCGGAUCAGGUAGGGAUACCCUCUGAACUUAAGCAUAUCAAUAAGCGGAGGA
Molecule: unclassified non-coding RNA, 335 nt
Filed under: soil metagenome
Description: partial contains 5.8S ribosomal RNA, internal transcribed spacer 2, and large subunit ribosomal RNA
Rfam family: 5.8S ribosomal RNA (bases 1-120)
Source: RNAcentral